UAUCAUAGCUUUUAUUAAUAAUAUACGCAUAUUUCAGAAUGAUUAAAUUAGUUUUCCAUGUUCAACAUAAGAAAAUGGCAAAACCCAGAAAUCUUUUCACCUGCUGCUCUCUGCUAAUGGCAAUCAUGUUUGGUUUGUCAUCAUCAGUUCAAUUAAAUGACCCUGAUUGGUACUUCUGGUUUCCCUCUAUGCUUGUGCUUGUAUUGUCAAUCUACUAAAUUGGAGAAUCUCAGGGUAUAUCAAACAUGUUGCACAAGUGGCACUGUGUCUUGGAGUAUUGUUGUUUAUUAAGGUUGUGGUUGAAGGUUAUGUAAGAAAGAUAGCUGGAUUGUGGUCAUUAGAUUUGGCUGAGAGAGUUGUUAGGGAGAAAACAGGGAGUUUGUUGGCUAUAAUCUCCAUGGUUUUGCAUUUGGUAUGUUUAUCAGAACCAGUGGAUGUUAAGCCAAGAAAGAAGAGGAAAAUUGUUGGAAGAGGUGUUGUUGCAUAUGCUUUCAAGGCUUAAUUCUUAAACAGGAAUGGCAGGCUUAGUGGCAUUCAGUUAUGGGCUUCCUUUUGUGUUCUUUGUGAUUCAAAAAGGGGAAAUGAGGUUCUAAACAUCAGAUUGGUGGAUUCUGUUUUUUCUGGAGUUUAAUGAUAUCCAUGUUUCAGUUUGUUUCUCGAGAAAAUUUGCUUAUGACUCACUUGAGGGAACUACACAUGACAAUUUUGUUUAUUUUACUAUAUGUAUGGAUGUCAUGAUUGAGUAUUUAAGUAACUUAAUGAAGAUAAAGCACGGUAGGAAGAAUUGUUCAAACUUUA
This is an RNA transcript of Gossypium raimondii (Peruvian cotton), 798 nucleotides long. RefSeq lists it as uncharacterized. The record is from RefSeq and is a predicted model, not a curated record. The transcript is spliced from 3 exons. Lineage: Eukaryota; Viridiplantae; Streptophyta; Magnoliopsida; Malvales; Malvaceae.